This 489-nucleotide long non-coding RNA is filed under the name Mus musculus (house mouse). RNAcentral's name for it is "predicted gene, 48133". Lineage: Eukaryota; Metazoa; Chordata; Mammalia; Rodentia; Muridae. The record is from RNAcentral.
AGCACUUCUUCAGACACCACGGGUUGCCCAACCCAGAUUCCUACACCCCAGACAGCUGCGGCCUUGGGUUCCAAGUUACCAGAUGCACCUUGCCUCCCGAACUAGAUCACGGAUUUAAUACAAGCUUUCCAAGGUCCUCCGCCAAAGCUGACAGGAUCCAGGAAUUGGGGGGCUAGCGGUGAGUCCCGGCAGCGGAUCCACGGUCCCCGCGGGGCAGCUCACCUUGCUGAGGACCCCGCAGCGCUCCACAGGCGGCCCGGACUCCGUCUCCGGAUCCUCCUCCGAGCCCGACGAGUUCCAGCUCUGGUUAUCCGACAUGGAGACGCGACAGCCGAGCAGGAGACCGGCCCCCGCUCCGCGAGCUGCGCCAGUGCAGGCGCCUAGUCCCUGGGGUGAAGGGUCGGGGGAUGGCACCGCCAAGAGAGCCCGCUCCGGGGAGUGAGGGAACAGGAAGAGGGACGAAGCGCGCCCGCCGCGCCGCCGCCGCCG